AGUUUCAAAUAUGACAAAGCGAUUUUAGUCAAAGAGUCCAUAAUAUAAACGAACUGUAGAGGCAUUUCCCUUCAAUAAUGGGUCCUGCCUGCCAACUGCCAAGUGGAGCUUCAUUAGCGAAUAUCUUAAUCAAGCAAUUGAUAACACUGAGGAAAUUAGAGAUACGGGUGUCGACGGUUACAUUCCUCAUAUAUCUUCAGAUCUAUGAGUGAAAUCAAUUACCAGUUGAAGAGCUGAGGCUGUGAGACCUGUGUUAACAAUGGGGAAACCUUCAUGGGUUCGCACUGUUAUAACACAGUUGUCUCUCUGCUUGUGCAUUCAACUUGGGUCGGCCUUGGGAGAAGCCCAUGUCCCAGAGCAGCAGUGGCAGUAGCAGGCCUCUUGACCUUUACUUUAUCAGUGUUAGAGGAGGAUUUAGACCUCUUAAUCAGCAGACCCAUCUUCUCAAACAGAUGGAGAAGGCCGCAAAGACUUAUAAGGCAAGGUUUGUGAUAAACAUUAGUGAACUUGGGGAAGACGAUCAACUCACACAAUGGUACUUGGCGUUUUUCAACACUGAAAGUUCCCUGGUACAGUACCAGAGUUUCAAGAGGACGGGGAACAGGUUACUUCCUAAAGCAGAUCAAAAUACCUUUUGGGAAAACCUUAGACAUUAUUGGUUUGGAUACUGGGGCAUUUAAGGCGCAUAGUUGUUGGUUUCUGCUCAUUGGCUGUUUGUGAAGGAAA
Molecule: RNA transcript, 726 nt
Organism: Vitis vinifera (wine grape)
Lineage: Eukaryota; Viridiplantae; Streptophyta; Magnoliopsida; Vitales; Vitaceae
Exons: 5
Source: RefSeq, a predicted model, not a curated record